Molecule: ribosomal RNA, 393 nt
Filed under: uncultured bacterium
Lineage: Bacteria
Description: bacterial SSU rRNA
Rfam family: Bacterial small subunit ribosomal RNA
Source: RNAcentral
GACGAACGCUGGCGGCGUGCUUAACACAUGCAAGUCGAGCGGUAAGGCCCUUUCGGGGGUACACGAGCGGCGAACGGGUGAGUAACACGUGGGUGACCUGCCCUCAGCUCUGGGAUAAGCCUGGGAAACCGGGGUCUAAUACUGGAUAUGACUCCAUGACGCAUGUUGUGGGGUGGAAAGCCUUGUGCGGCUGAGGAUGGGCCCGCGGCCUAUCAGCUUGUUGGUGGGGUGAUGGCCUACCAAGGCGACGACGGGUAGCCGGCCUGAGAGGGCGACCGGCCACACUGGGACUGAGACACGGCCCAGACUCCUACGGGAGGCAGCAGUGGGGAAUCUUGCGCAAUGGGCGAAAGCCUGACGCAGCGACGCCGCGUGAGGGAUGACGGCCUGUGU